CCUACGGGUUGCACCAGUGGGGAAUAUUGCACAAUGGGCGCAAGCCUGAUGCAGCCAUGCCGCGUGUAUGAAGAAGGCCUUCGGGUUGUAAAGUACUUUCAGCGGGGAGGAAGGUGUUAUGGUUAAUAACCACAGCAAUUGACGUUACCCGCAGAAGAAGCACCGGCUAACUCCGUGCCAGCAGCCGCGGUUAUACGGAGGGUGCAAGCGUUAAUCGGAAUUACUGGGCGUAAAGCGCACGCAGGCGGUCUGUCAAGUCGGAUGUGAAAUCCCCGGGCUCAACCUGGGAACUGCAUUCGAAACUGGCAGGCUAGAGUCUUGUAGAGGGGGGUAGAAUUCCAGGUGUAGCGGUGAAAUGCGUAGAGAUCUGGAGGAAUACUGGUGGCGAAGGCGGCCCCCUGGACAAAGACUGACGCUCAGGUGCGAAAGCGUGGGGAGCGAACAGGAUUAGAUACCCUUGUAGUC
RNAcentral lists this ribosomal RNA (465 nucleotides) under uncultured bacterium. Its description in RNAcentral is "bacterial SSU rRNA". It matches the Rfam family "Bacterial small subunit ribosomal RNA", at positions 338 to 795 of the family's 1533-position model. The record is from RNAcentral.